Molecule: ribosomal RNA, 466 nt
Filed under: uncultured bacterium
Lineage: Bacteria
Description: partial 16S ribosomal RNA
Rfam family: Bacterial small subunit ribosomal RNA
Source: RNAcentral
AACGAACGCUGGCGGUAUGCUUAACACAUGCAAGUCGAACGAGCAAAAUUGGGGCUUGCUCCAAUUUUAGUGAGUGGCAAACGGGUGAGUAACACGUGGGAAUCCACCUAUCAGUACGGAACAACAUUUGGAAACAGAUGCUAAUACCGUAUAUUCUCCAAGGAGGAAAGAUUUAUCGCUGAUAGAUGAGCCCGCGCAAGAUUAGGUAGUUGGUAGGGUAAUGGCCUACCAAGCCGACGAUCUUUAGCUGGUCUGAGAGGAUGAUCAGCCACACUGGGACUGAGACACGGCCCAGACUCCUACGGGAGGCAGCAGUGGGGAAUAUUGGACAAUGGGCGAAAGCCUGAUUCAGCAAUACCGCGUGAAUGAUGAAGGCCUUAGGGUUGUAAAGUUCUUUUAGUUGGAAAGAUAAUGACGGUACCAACAGAAAAAGCCCCGGCUAACUCCGUGCCAGCCGCCGCCGUAA